RNAcentral lists this ribosomal RNA (253 nucleotides) under uncultured bacterium. RNAcentral's name for it is "partial 16S ribosomal RNA". It matches the Rfam family "Bacterial small subunit ribosomal RNA", at positions 524 to 776 of the family's 1533-position model. The record is from RNAcentral.
UACGGAGGAUGCAAGCGUUAUCCGGAAUAAUUGGGCGUAAAGCGUUCGUAGGUGGUGAUGUAAGUCUGCUGUUAAAGCGUGUAGCUUAACUACAUAUAGGCGGUGGAAACUACAUGACUAGAGCGCGGUCGGGGCAGAGGGAAUUCCUGGUGUAGCGGUGAAAAGCGUAGAUAUCAGGAAGAACACCGGUGGCGAAGGCGCUCUGCUAGGCCGUAACUGACACUGAGGGACGAAAGCUAGGGGAGCGAAUGGG